RNAcentral lists this ribosomal RNA (2928 nucleotides) under Bacillus velezensis. Its description in RNAcentral is "bacterial LSU rRNA". It matches the Rfam family "Bacterial large subunit ribosomal RNA". Lineage: Bacteria; Bacillati; Bacillota; Bacilli; Caryophanales; Bacillaceae. The record is from RNAcentral.
UUAAGUUAGAAAGGGCGCACGGUGGAUGCCUUGGCACUAGGAGCCGAUGAAGGACGGGACGAACACCGAUAUGCUUCGGGGAGCUGUAAGCAAGCUUUGAUCCGGAGAUUUCCGAAUGGGGAAACCCACCACUCGUAAUGGAGUGGUAUCCAUAUCUGAAUACAUAGGAUAUGAGAAGGCAGACCCGGGGAACUGAAACAUCUAAGUACCCGGAGGAAGAGAAAGCAAAUGCGAUUCCCUGAGUAGCGGCGAGCGAAACGGGAUCAGCCCAAACCAAGAGGCUUGCCUCUUGGGGUUGUAGGACACUCUGUACGGAGUUACAAAGGAACGAGGUAGAUGAAGAGGUCUGGAAAGGCCCGCCAUAGGAGGUAACAGCCCUGUAGUCAAAACUUCGUUCUCUCCUGAGUGGAUCCUGAGUACGGCGGAACACGUGAAAUUCCGUCGGAAUCCGGGAGGACCAUCUCCCAAGGCUAAAUACUCCCUAGUGACCGAUAGUGAACCAGUACCGUGAGGGAAAGGUGAAAAGCACCCCGGAAGGGGAGUGAAAGAGAUCCUGAAACCGUGUGCCUACAAGUAGUCAGAGCCCGUUAACGGGUGAUGGCGUGCCUUUUGUAGAAUGAACCGGCGAGUUACGAUCCCGUGCAAGGUUAAGCAGAAGAUGCGGAGCCGCAGCGAAAGCGAGUCUGAAUAGGGCGAAUUGAGUACGUGGUCGUAGACCCGAAACCAGGUGAUCUACCCAUGUCCAGGGUGAAGUUCAGGUAACACUGAAUGGAGGCCCGAACCCACGCACGUUGAAAAGUGCGGGGAUGAGGUGUGGGUAGGGGUGAAAUGCCAAUCGAACCUGGAGAUAGCUGGUUCUCUCCGAAAUAGCUUUAGGGCUAGCCUCAAGGUAAGAGUCUCGGAGGUAGAGCACUGAUUGGACUAGGGGCCCCUACCGGGUUACCGAAUUCAGUCAAACUCCGAAUGCCGAUGACUUAUCCUUGGGAGUCAGACUGCGAGUGAUAAGAUCCGUAGUCGAAAGGGAAACAGCCCAGACCGCCAGCUAAGGUCCCAAAGUAUACGUUAAGUGGAAAAGGAUGUGGAGUUGCUUAGACAACCAGGAUGUUGGCUUAGAAGCAGCCACCAUUUAAAGAGUGCGUAAUAGCUCACUGGUCGAGUGACUCUGCGCCGAAAAUGUACCGGGGCUAAACGUAUCACCGAAGCUGCGGACUGUUCUUCGAACAGUGGUAGGAGAGCGUUCUAAGGGCUGUGAAGCAAGACCGGAAGGACUUGUGGAGCGCUUAGAAGUGAGAAUGCCGGUAUGAGUAGCGAAAGAGGGGUGAGAAUCCCCUCCACCGAAUGCCUAAGGUUUCCUGAGGAAGGCUCGUCCGCUCAGGGUUAGUCGGGACCUAAGCCGAGGCCGAAAGGCGUAGGCGAUGGAUAACAGGUUGAUAUUCCUGUACCACCUCCUCACCAUUUGAGCAAUGGGGGGACGCAGGAGGAUAGGGUAAGCGCGGUAUUGGAUAUCCGCGUCCAAGCAGUUAGGCUGGGAAAUAGGAAAAUCCGUUUCCCGUGAAGGCUGAGCUGUGAUGGCGAGCGAAUUAUAGUAGCGAAGUUCCUGAUUCCACACUGCCAAGAAAAGCCUCUAGCGAGGUGAGAGGUGCCCGUACCGCAAACCGACACAGGUAGGCGAGGAGAGAAUCCUAAGGUGAUCGAGAGAACUCUCGUUAAGGAACUCGGCAAAAUGACCCCGUAACUUCGGGAGAAGGGGUGCUCUGUUAGGGUGCAAGCCCGAGAGAGCCGCAGUGAAUAGGCCCAGGCGACUGUUUAGCAAAAACACAGGUCUCUGCGAAGCCGUAAGGCGAAGUAUAGGGGCUGACGCCUGCCCGGUGCUGGAAGGUUAAGAGGAGCGCUUAGCGUAAGCGAAGGUGCGAAUUGAAGCCCCAGUAAACGGCGGCCGUAACUAUAACGGUCCUAAGGUAGCGAAAUUCCUUGUCGGGUAAGUUCCGACCCGCACGAAAGGCGCAACGAUCUGGGCACUGUCUCAACGAGAGACUCGGUGAAAUUAUAGUACCUGUGAAGAUGCAGGUUACCCGCGACAGGACGGAAAGACCCCGUGGAGCUUUACUGCAGCCUGAUAUUGAAUGUUGGUACAGCUUGUACAGGAUAGGUAGGAGCCUUGGAAACCGGAGCGCCAGCUUCGGUGGAGGCAUCGGUGGGAUACUACCCUGGCUGUAUUGACCUUCUAACCCGCCGCCCUUAUCGGGCGGGGAGACAGUGUCAGGUGGGCAGUUUGACUGGGGCGGUCGCCUCCUAAAAGGUAACGGAGGCGCCCAAAGGUUCCCUCAGAAUGGUUGGAAAUCAUUCGCAGAGUGUAAAGGCACAAGGGAGCUUGACUGCGAGACCUACAAGUCGAGCAGGGACGAAAGUCGGGCUUAGUGAUCCGGUGGUUCCGCAUGGAAGGGCCAUCGCUCAACGGAUAAAAGCUACCCCGGGGAUAACAGGCUUAUCUCCCCCAAGAGUCCACAUCGACGGGGAGGUUUGGCACCUCGAUGUCGGCUCAUCGCAUCCUGGGGCUGUAGUCGGUCCCAAGGGUUGGGCUGUUCGCCCAUUAAAGCGGUACGCGAGCUGGGUUCAGAACGUCGUGAGACAGUUCGGUCCCUAUCCGUCGCGGGCGCAGGAAAUUUGAGAGGAGCUGUCCUUAGUACGAGAGGACCGGGAUGGACGCACCGCUGGUGUACCAGUUGUUCUGCCAAGGGCAUCGCUGGGUAGCUAUGUGCGGACGGGAUAAGUGCUGAAAGCAUCUAAGCAUGAAGCCCCCCUCAAGAUGAGAUUUCCCAUUCCGCAAGGAAGUAAGAUCCCUGAAAGAUGAUCAGGUUGAUAGGUCUGAGGUGGAAGUGUGGCGACACAUGGAGCUGACAGAUACUAAUCGAUCGAGGACUUAACCAA